RNAcentral lists this small RNA (92 nucleotides) under Salmonella enterica. RNAcentral's name for it is "partial RtT sRNA". It matches the Rfam family "RtT RNA", at positions 1 to 91 of the family's 130-position model. From Rfam's summary of the family: This family represents a bacterial cis-regulatory element known as RtT RNA. The exact function of RtT is unknown although it is thought that it may be involved in changing the cellular response in relation to amino acid starvation. Lineage: Bacteria; Pseudomonadati; Pseudomonadota; Gammaproteobacteria; Enterobacterales; Enterobacteriaceae. The record is from RNAcentral. RNAcentral also lists the same sequence under 3 other names.
AUAUCUCUCUGUACGGGAAGGAUGAGAAGCUUCGACCAAGGUUCGAUUCGAGCGCAGCGAGAAAGCGUUGCCGCAGGCAACGACCCGAAGGG